AAUUCCCAAAAUUGACCUACGAAGACAAUAACUCAAAUAACAUUCUGAUUUUAUAUCCAUGUGAGUAAGAAUAACAACUUACCCUUUUACCUACUUACCGGUACCCAUGGGGGGUCCAUAGGAAUGUCCCCUUACGCAUGAACUUAAAAACUAAGUUUGUCAAUUAACUGGCCGUCCAAUACCCUGUCCAGAAAUAGGUGUCAAACAUACCAUCUUCUUGAUACUCCGUUUAAUAUGAGGGUGAACUAUAUCUCUUAAACCCUUCUGGUAUGGGACUUUUCAGCCCCAUCCAACUGAGAUAAUGUCCACGAUAGGGUUUUUCUAUGUACCAU
Molecule: long non-coding RNA, 332 nt
Filed under: Carica papaya (papaya)
Lineage: Eukaryota; Viridiplantae; Streptophyta; Magnoliopsida; Brassicales; Caricaceae
Description: long non-coding RNA (CPAP_LNC013150)
Source: RNAcentral